UUUACAUAUUAAUCCUCAAUUUUUUGCUAGUUUACAUUAAAACUGAUUCGCACGUCGUGAAAAUCAUCAAGGUUUAUCGUACGUGCCUUCUAACUUGAUUCUUCUUUAUUAAAAAAAAAAAAAAAAAAAAAAAAAAAAAGAAUUGUAUAUCGAUCGGUAAACUUAUCGACCGAUAAACUUACCGACGUGAAACAGAAUUAAUCUCAAAAUAGUACGGUAGAGAAAAUGAACGAUCGUACGUAACGUACGAGAGGAUCUUUACAGUAGACGAACGUUGGAUCUGAAAAAAAGAAAAAAAAAAAAGAAAAAAAAACGACAUUUUGAUUUAACGUUAAUAUUACGAAUGAAAGUAAGUAUGUAAACACCAAAGAAAAAAUUGAACGUAUAGUUUAUAUCGAACGCUUACAAUACUAUUACGAUGGUAGUGAUUGUCGAAAAUAAUAAACACAUUCUCCUCGAUUCGUUCGUCGAAUCUUGAUCCUCACCGAUUAAUUACGCAGUGUAACGUACAUAUCUGAAAACUCUUAACAUCGAUAAAGAAUAGGAAGAAGAAGAAGUAGAAGAAGAAGAAGAAGAAGAAGAUGAAGAAGAAGAAGAAGAAGAAGAUGAAGAUGAAGCAGUAUUUAUCAUUUUUAUGCUUUUUAACGACGAAACUUCAGACUCGUUUUGAGAGUUCAGAUGGCGCUCAACGAUACAUCCGUUCAAACGUUAAUUUGAAACCGUGUGUCGUCCCUUCGAGAAAAUUCGUUUAAAUACGUAAGUACGCAUACUCUCGGUCACAUUCAUACAUAUCGACUUACUUGCUUACUUACAUUCAUACAUACACGCUCGUCGCACGCACACGUAUUAUUGAGAAUAUCCGCGAAAACGCGAAAGGCCUUUCUCUUUCUCUUUCUUCGAACACUUUUUUUCAACUGGUACUAAUUAUUAAAUAAUUAAUUAAUCCCUUCUGAGUAUCAUCGAACAUACUAUUUAUAUAAUAUUAUGUACAUUGUGUUAAAACGUGUCUUUCUUCGAGUCGAUAGCGUUGUCGAUUUUUCGUCCAGUAAGUAACCUCAAAUUUCUAUUAAGGAGUUACGGAAGUAAAGGAAGAAAAAAAAUCAACUGGCGAACAAGAUUUCUUUCAUAUGCUGUUCUUUUGGUCACGUGCUCGAAUUAAAAACAAACAACGAAAGAAGAAAAGAGAGAUCAGAGGACAGACAAUUCUAAAGUUUCGUAGACCGAAAACGAUAAGAAUACAACGACGAUGAAUUUGUUAAUUAUAUAUCAAUCAACGCUCAUGCAUUCACACACACACACACGCACGCAC
Molecule: long non-coding RNA, 1309 nt
Organism: Vespula vulgaris
Lineage: Eukaryota; Metazoa; Arthropoda; Insecta; Hymenoptera; Vespidae
Exons: 4
Source: RefSeq, a predicted model, not a curated record